This 30-nucleotide small RNA is filed under the name Arabidopsis thaliana (thale cress). RNAcentral's name for it is "ATSL110690". The record is from RNAcentral. Lineage: Eukaryota; Viridiplantae; Streptophyta; Magnoliopsida; Brassicales; Brassicaceae.
AAAAGAAAGAAAAAAAGAAGAAGAAAAAGA